CUCCGGUUGCCACGCCGUCCGUGACGGUGCUGCCGCCCUCCCUGCACGACCUCUACCUGUCCACCCAGCCCAACCUCACCUGCGUGGCCACCAACCUCCCCUCCCCCGACGGCGUCGAGUUCACCUGGAGCCGCACGGGGGGCGGGGCCUCGCCGGUGGGCGGGGCCACUUCCGGCCCCGCCCGGAAGCUGCCCUUUUUCUACGAGCUCCGGAACGUUCUGGGGAUCUGCGCCGAGGAUUGGAACUCGGGCGACGAGUUCACGUGCGCCGUGAGCGCCGGGCGACGGCACGAGGCGAUGGCGGCCAGCGUCAAAAAGGACACGGGCGUCCAGGCCGUGGCUCCCAAGGUUUUCGUGUUCCCCCCGCCCGCCGAGGACCUGGCGCGCGGCGAGUCGGCCAUCUUGACCUGCCUGGCCAGCGGCUUCCGCCCGCGCGACGUCCUCGUCACCUGGACGCAGCAGGACGCGCCGGUGCCGCCCGAGAGGUUCUCGGUGCUGGGCCCGGCGCCGGACGCUCCGGAAGGUUCCGGGAGGUUCUCGGUCUACUCCAAGCUGGAGGUGCCGGCGGAGGAGUGGCGGCGCGGCGACGUCUUCGGGUGCGUGGUGGGACACGAGGGCGCGGGCCUGAGGUUCAUCCAGAGGAACCUGGACAGGUCCAUGGCCCGGCCGGCCAGCGUCAACGUCUCGGUGAUUCUGGCCGACUCCGACACCGUCUGUUAUUGA
Camarhynchus parvulus is the source of this 722-nucleotide non-coding RNA. Lineage: Eukaryota; Metazoa; Chordata; Aves; Passeriformes; Thraupidae. The record is from the annotation of a RefSeq genome assembly.